UACGGGGGGGGCAAGCGUUGUUCGGAAUUACUGGGCGUAAAGGGCUCGUAGGCGGCCAACUAAGUCAGACGUGAAAUCCCUCGGCUUAACCGGGGAACUGCGUCUGAUACUGGUUGGCUUGAAUCCGGGAGAGGGAUGUGGAAUUCCAGGUGUAGCGGUGAAAUGCGUAGAUAUCGAGAGGAACACCGGUGGCGAAGGCGGGUCUCUGGGCCGAUACUGACGCUGAGGAGCGAAAGCGUGGGGAGCGAACAGG
This 253-nucleotide ribosomal RNA is filed under the name uncultured bacterium. RNAcentral describes it as "partial 16S ribosomal RNA". It matches the Rfam family "Bacterial small subunit ribosomal RNA", at positions 524 to 776 of the family's 1533-position model. The record is from RNAcentral.